RNAcentral lists this small RNA (213 nucleotides) under Ralstonia solanacearum. RNAcentral describes it as "Manganese sequence". The stretch from base 1 to 118 matches the Rfam family "Manganese Mn2+ riboswitch aptamer (yybP-ykoY)". Rfam says of the family: This RNA was originally discovered in E. coli during a large scale screen and was named SraF. The family was later found to exist upstream of related families of protein genes in many bacteria, including the the yybP and ykoK genes in B. subtilis. Lineage: Bacteria; Pseudomonadati; Pseudomonadota; Betaproteobacteria; Burkholderiales; Burkholderiaceae. The record is from RNAcentral.
CCGGCUUCCAUUGGGGAGUAGCCGCCUGGAGCCAAUGCUCCGGGGGCCACGUCAACAGACUUGACCGUCGUCGCAAUGGCAGACGGUUAUGGCGUGGUCAGCAACAUCCUGGGUGCCCCGCACCCGGUGACGCGCCUGGCGAGACCGAUGACACGCCUUUCCGGACAGGGCCGGGAAAGGUGCGUCAUUGGUUCGUAUACGGCCCGGACACCC